CAGUCGCCACGGGAAUACGAAGGGGGCUAGCGUUGCUCGGAAUUACUGGGCGUAAAGGGAGCGUAGGCGGAUGAAUUAGUCAGGGGUGAAAUCCCGGGGCUCAACCUCGGAACUGCCUUUGAUACUGUUCAUCUUGAGUAUGGGAGAGGUGUGUGGAACUCCGAGUGUAGAGGUGAAAUUCGUAGAUAUUCGGAAGAACACCAGUGGCGAAGGCGACACACUGGCCCAUUACUGACGCUGAGGCUCGAAAGCGUGGGGAGCAAAUGGGAUUAGAUACCCCGGUAGUCCCUGUCUCUUAUAC
This 301-nucleotide ribosomal RNA is filed under the name uncultured bacterium. Its description in RNAcentral is "partial 16S ribosomal RNA". It matches the Rfam family "Bacterial small subunit ribosomal RNA", at positions 509 to 807 of the family's 1533-position model. The record is from RNAcentral.